Molecule: long non-coding RNA, 1341 nt
Organism: Ostrea edulis (European flat oyster)
Lineage: Eukaryota; Metazoa; Mollusca; Bivalvia; Ostreida; Ostreidae
Exons: 3
Source: RefSeq, a predicted model, not a curated record
CUCUGAUGAAUUUCUUCAAUGGAAACAAUCUGCUCAUUGCAGGCUUCGUUGCAGUGUUGCAGUGAUGUCAUCAAAAGUGACGUAUACGUUGCUGAAAUCAAACAACGUCACGUCGUGAAAAAUUUAACACAGAAAAUCAUCAUUAGGAAUUUUGUCUAACCCUUUCAAAACAGAUCUUGUUGAAAAAUCAUGGAAUACUUUUGUAUAACGUAUGUUACAAGUAUAAUUUCUAAUUUUCAUAUAGAUAAUGUUAUUUUUAUAUUAUCAAAUAUUCAUACGCAGAGGGACAGUAAUACUUACUAGCGAUUGUUAGUCCGCUACCAACGACCCAUAACGGACAAACUGAACACCCUACAUCAGGUUCUUGCGAUAUCACAAACUCAAAAACCGUCCAGAGGAAAUAAACGAUGAAAGCAAAGGAGACUUUCAUGGUACCUGAAAUAUGUUAAUCAAAUGCUGAAAAAAGUGGAGGGGCAGCGAGGACACGUGUCUUCUUUCAGAAGUGGGUACUAAUUGAAAUACAAAAUUAAAACAGCACUGAAAGAAAGAACCACAAAUCCCGGGGCCACAAAGCUCACCUGAUCUACAGAGAUAAGAUGCAGAAGAUUUGAAUACAAACGAUCGUCCAACAAUAAUAAGUAUAUAUGCUACAUGUAUCAGGAUGCUUGCAUUUCAUUUUGAUAAAUCGUAAUUAUCUUAUUGCUAUAGGAAAGAUUUUAAAAGAUUCAAACAAGCAAUUCUUAAGACUUUUACUGUAUGCCAAAUCAGGCACAUGGGGUCACAAUUCAUAGAAAUCUGCACUCAGUUUUACUAUAAAACUGCAACAAUUGUAGAAAAUUGUGGUGUCCUUCUGGCUCCACAAGUCAAAAUUGAAUCUAUACUAAGUGAGGAUGCUUGCAUCAUUUGAAAAGAAGACUUUUAAAUAUAUUUCCUAUAUAUUCUUCCGUAAAAUUUUUAACCUCCAUUGAGUGGUUACCAAACUUAAAUGUAAAGUAUACUAAAAUUAAGUUCCAUGUAAACUUACUCUUUCCUCAAUGAGGAGAAUUUUAAAUAAGCCCCCCCCCCCCCCCCCCCCCUAAGUUUUACUACUGUAUUUCCUGAUAACUACAAGUAACUUAGAAGAGGACAUGGUCCUUCAUUGAAAAAAAAAUAUCUGAAUUUCCAUUACUCGAGUGCCAACUGUAAAGUUGAAAAUAUGAAAAAUCAUGCCAUACCAACAAGCAAGCAUUGGACAAAAGUUGAUCAGUAAAACUUAUUUGAGCCUUUGGGUUAAAUGAUCUAAUAUUCACUGCCUUUGAAGCCAUAAAACUGCAAUAAGCUGACUUUUGAUCAUAGUUUCAU